GCCAGACUCCUACGGGAGGCAGCAGUGGGGAAUAUUGCACAAUGGGGGAAACCCUGAUGCAGCGACGCCGCGUGAGUGAAGAAGUAUUUCGGUAUGUAAAGCUCUAUCAGCAGGGAAGAAAAUGACGGUACCUGACUAAGAAGCCCCGGCUAACUACGUGCCAGCAGCCGCGGUAAUACGUAGGGGGCAAGCGUUAUCCGGAUUUACUGGGUGUAAAGGGAGCGUAGACGGCAGUGCAAGUCCGGAGUGAAAGCCCGGGGCUCAACCCUGGGACUGCUCUGGAAACUGUAAGGCUGGAGUGCGGGAGGGGCAGGCGGAAUUCCUGGUGUAGCGGUGAAAUGCGUAGAUAUCAGGAGGAACACCGGCGGCGAAGGCGGCCUGCUGGACCGUGACUGACGUUGAGGCUCGAGAGCGUGGGGAGCAAACAGGAUUAGAUACCCGAGUACA
This 447-nucleotide ribosomal RNA is filed under the name uncultured bacterium. RNAcentral describes it as "bacterial SSU rRNA". It matches the Rfam family "Bacterial small subunit ribosomal RNA", at positions 330 to 797 of the family's 1533-position model. The record is from RNAcentral.